RNAcentral lists this long non-coding RNA (403 nucleotides) under Mytilus galloprovincialis (Mediterranean mussel). Lineage: Eukaryota; Metazoa; Mollusca; Bivalvia; Mytilida; Mytilidae. The record is from RNAcentral.
CCAAGUUAAUAUAUAUUAAAAUCUGUAUUUUUCAUAUAUAAGGAUUAAUCAACACAAAUAAAUUGUGCAAUUUGAUAUAUCCUUAACUUUAUGAUGAAAUUUAGGGUUUGUCCUAUAACUAAUGCCAGAUUUUAGAUCACAACUAUAUAGCCAGAAAAUUGAUACAUCAUUUAUUCAAACACACUUGUUUGUCUUCACAGCAGGAUAUUGUCUAAUGACCACAAUAUUGUAGAAGACUGACCAGAAAUAACCAGCUGUGGACUAUGACUCUUCUAUGGAUUGCAAAAUACUGAUAAAAAUAAAUAGAUUGUUAUCAGUCAGUGGAAAACUGUCUAUUGACUUUUGAAUUUACAUACAGAAGAUCCCCCCUUUUUUCUAAAAUUUUAAAAAUAGUCCUAAUACA